GUUCUGCAGCAUCCCAGAGGGGAACCCACGUCUGGCAGUUCCCGAUCCCUAGACACUGACGAGGACUGGCCUGGAGUGCCUGCCGCCCUGGACCCUAAGGAGCCAGAAAAGGCCUGGAGGCUACCGGUACAAACCCCAGGGAGGCAGGAAGUGGCCCCGGAGCAGCCGGCUGCAGAGCCAGGACACUUUGCUCCCUGCUCAUAGGCUCAGGGCAAAACGCCAGCCUGGAAAAGACUCCGAGAGCCCGUCUGAUCGACACCAUUAGUGAACUGGGCGAAUCGGACUUGAAGAUGUUUAAAGACAAGCUGAACAAUUUCAAGCCCAAGGAAGGUUAUAACCACAUAAAAUGGAGCCAUCUGGAAAAAGCAGACGCUGUAGCAAUCACUUGCCUGCAUGUCAGCUACUACGAGAAGGAUUACACAGUGGAAGUGGCCGGGAAGGUGCUGGAGGACAUGGACAAGAAGAACCUGGCACACAAGCUGUCAGAGACCGUAGGGAAGGGAAUCCUCCUCUUCCUCCUCCUCGACGGCAGCAGUGACUCCAACGCAGCAGCAGUCAGCCAGCCAGGCAGGAGGGACCCGUAGGUGGUGGUGGGGUCCUUGUUUCUCCCUCCAGAGGCAGAGGGGGGGCAGGCCGGCAAUGGCCCCCCACACCCAGCAGCAGCAGACCAGGAAGGGAGCUCUAGCCAGCAGCAGUCCUCCAGGGAAGAAGGGAGCUUCAGUCAACAGGACAGCCACAGCAGACUAAGGUGCGUGGGCUCCCUCCGAGCCGGAGAGUGAGGGACCAUUACACCCCCAUAGUGGCAAAACCCCUGACUCCACAAAGGGGCCACAAAAAUCGGGAGACAGAUCAAAACUGUUAAUCUUCCAAGUGAGCCCAGCCCUGUGUCGCAGAAGGGAAGAGGGCUGGACUUCAGCUGGAUGAAGGGUGAAGGUGGCAAAAGUUUGUUUCACUUCCUUCUCGGGACACUUUGCUCUCUGCCCGUAGCCUCGGGGCAAAGAGCCAGCCUGGAAAAGACGCCGAGAGACCAUCUGAUCGACACCAUUAGUGAGCUGGGCGAAUCGGACUUGAAGAUGUUUAAAGACAAGCUGAACAAUUUCAAGCCCAAGGAAGGUUAUAACCAUAUCAAAUGGAGCCAGCUGGAAAAAGCAGAAGCUGUAGAAAUCACUCGUCUGCUGGUCAGUUACUACGAUGACGAUUACGCGGUGGAAGUGGCCGGGAAGGUGCUGGACGCCAUGGACAAGAAGAACCUGGCACACAAGCUGUCAGAGGCCGCAGGGAAGGAAAUCCUCCUCUUCCUCCUCCUCGUCGGCAGCAGUGACUCCAACGCAGCAGCAGUCAGCCAGCCAGGCAGGAGGGACCCGUAGGUGGUGGUGGGGUCCUUGUUUCUCCCUCCAGAGGCAGAGGGGGGACAGGCCGGCAAUGGCCCCCCACACCCAGCAGCAGCAGACCAGGAAGGGAGCUCUAGCCAGCAGCAGUCCUCCAGGGAAGAAGGGAGCUUCAGCCAGCAGGACAGCCACAGCAGACUAAGCCUCGGGGCAAAGAGCCAGCCUGGAAAAGACGCCGAGAGACCAUCUGAUCGACACCAUUAGUGAACUGGGCGAAUCGGACUUGAAGAUGUUUAAAGACAAGCUGAACAAUUUCAAGCCCAAGGAAGGUUAUAACCACAUAAAAUGGAGCCAGCUGGAAAAAGCAGAAGCUGUAGAUAUCACUCGUCUGCUGGUCAGCUACUACGAUGACGAUUACGCGGUGGAAGUGGCCGGGAAGGUGCUGGACGCCAUGGACAAGAAGAACCUGGCACGCAAGCUGUCAGAGGCCGCAGGGAAGGGAAUCCUCCUCUUCCUCCUCCUCGACGGCAGCAGUGACUCCAACGCAGCAGCAGCAAGC
Malaclemys terrapin pileata is the source of this 1887-nucleotide RNA transcript. It is a transcript of the gene named pyrin-like, with no coding region annotated. NCBI's taxonomy places the organism in Eukaryota, Metazoa, Chordata, Testudines, Emydidae. The record is from RefSeq and is a predicted model, not a curated record. The transcript is spliced from 6 exons.